AAUCAACGCUGGCGGCGUGCCUCAGACACGCAAGUCGAACGGUUAAAGCCCUCUUCGGAGGGUGCAUAAAGUGGCGCACGGGUGAGUAACACGUAAGUAAUCUACCUUCGAGUGGGGAAUAACGUUCGGAAACGAACGCUAAUACCGCAUAAUGCAGCGGCAUCUAUGAUGACAGUUGUUAAAGAUUUAUCGCUUGAAGAGGAGCUUGCGGCAGAUCAGCUAGUUGGUAAGGUAACGGCUUACCAAGGCGACGAUCUGUAUCCGGUCUAAAAGGACGGUCGGACACACUGGCACUGAAUAACGGGUCAGACUCCUACGGGAGGCAGCAGUCGGGAAUUUUGGGCAAUGGGCGAAAGCCUGACCCAGCAACGCCGCGUGAAGGAUGAAGUUUUUCGGAAUGUAAACUUCGUAAGAAUAGGAAGAGUAAAUGACGGUACUAUUUGUAAGGUCCGGCUAACUACGUGCCAGCAGCCGCCGUAA
RNAcentral lists this ribosomal RNA (480 nucleotides) under uncultured bacterium. Its description in RNAcentral is "partial 16S ribosomal RNA". It matches the Rfam family "Bacterial small subunit ribosomal RNA", at positions 32 to 523 of the family's 1533-position model. The record is from RNAcentral.